AAGACCCUAAAAAGAAAAUACAAAAUAAGUACAAAGAUCCAAAGCCCCAAUACUAUAACUAAUCGCUGGCAUUUGUGCCGGAAGUAAGGGUAUUCAGAUCAACAAAACCAGCAGGGGCCGAUAGGUCGGGGAUAGGAGUCACUCCUCCACUUCAUCAUCUUCAACAUCAUCCACAUUUUCAUCUUCAUAGGAAGUAAGACAUCGCAUAUCUGGAGAGGGGAUACCAAGUCAUCGAGCCAAUUCCUCUAAUUGAGGAACCUCAAGUUGAAAAUCAACCGCACUAGUGCGAACUUCGUGAAGGGUGUGCAAGCGGGUUUCAAUAAUGGCCCAGGAUCAUAGGGUGCUUGUUUUGGCAAGUUCUUGAAGUCCAUUUGAAUGGUCUCACAAUCGACAUUAUUGGCCUGGACUAUCUCCUCAGUCAGGGCCAACUCCGACCUUAGCCUCUAAAUCUCAACUGAUAAACGGGAACACUCUUCCAUUAGACAAACCUCCUCAUCGGCCUUAAAGACCAGAUCGACCUGGAGGGAAAAAAGCCUACCAUUGGCCCUAGAGCAUUCAGCCAGUAGAGCUGCCUCACUUUUCAAAAAUUGGCCAUUCUCUUUUCAGCGCUCCUCUCUGCGGCUUUGGUCCUGGCCAAGAGUGAUCCCUUCUAUUCUUUGAGCUUCUGGAGCUCGACCCUCAAUGUCCGGUCAUACUUUACUACUUCCUUGGACCUAGUGGCAUCCUCUCAAACCCUCUUUAAAGUCCUCGAACUGAGCACUGUGAUCUACAAAAAUAAAUGACUUAUGCUAUGUUAAUGAUCGGCAAAGCCUAAUAGAAAAGGAUCACUUUAGAAGACUUACCCUUACAGCUUCAUUAGCCAUUUGCGUCACCAUUGCCUCAUCACUCAUAGACUCUAUCUGUUUCUGUCUUGGGGACUCGCUAUCUAAGGAAGAUGAGCGGCAAUGUGCUUGGGCUCCUUGAAUUUUUUGACCCAGCUUGGCACCGAUAAUUGAUAUGACGGCAAUCAGAAGUCUUCUCUAUAGGAACAAGGGGACCGUCAUGAGCCGACAAAGCCACCUCAUUGUAACCUUCUCGAGAACUCGCCUCUUCAGUAGAAGGGACAGUCUGGAAAGGCAGAACCUAUCGCUCACUUGAGGGAACCAUAACUCUCUCCUUAGAUGAGAGAAGUCACCUUAUCAGCAUACCCUCAUUCGAAAUUAUAUCUAUCGUGGCCUCUGCCACCAGGCCUCCCUAUGGAAUAACCCCUACAAAUGAAAUAAUAGUGGUUUCCUCCCCAAAGUCAACUUGGAUGGGGUCGGUAUACAUUUAUCAUCCGAUAACACCAUCAUAAAUAGUCGGUGGAAUGGAUCGAGUGGCACCCUCUCCUAACCCAAAUGGCUGGGACUUUUUCUCAGAAAUACGCUUCCUCUUUGAAGAACCGGAGGAAGAUGGUUUCAAAAGAACAUUCUCCAAAAUCGUGAGGAUCAGUUCUCGAAUCAACCAAGACACCUCUUCUACAGAACCAACCCAAGGCUUUGGUCUUUUAUUAACCCCCACACCUAUGUAAAUCUGCAUAUGUUAGACACAACAAAGAUGAAGGAGAAAAAUGAAGUUUUAAACUUAAAGAAGUAUCACCAUGAUACUUCUCUCGAAAACCUCCUAGGUAGGCCUCUAUAAUUUUCCAUGACCUAGAAAUUUCGGUGGAUACCCCUUAAGAUCUUGGAUACCCAAUCCUCUAUGUCCAGAACCGCUUAUACCUCCGCCGCUUAUACCUCCACCACAGUAGCUGAACAAUAUAGUACGUGGUAAAAAGGUCUUCUCUAAUUUAAUCCAGGAAAGUGAAAAAGACAGAAAGAUUUACGGGUAAAACUCCAUUUCUCCGGGUCUUCGUGCCCGGCCAAAGGAAAUUGGUUUGGAUGACUACGUAUCGUUCACACCACCAACUAUCGAAGUAAUUCUCAUAGUCCAAGAUGAGAGCCUUCGAACCCUGCUACGUCAUAUUAAUCAUGCCCCUCGGUAGAUAUUGGGAGAGUACAGAUGAAGUAAAUGCUAGUAUGUAGAAGGGACAUCAACCUUGGAAGCCAAGUGUCAACGGACCAUCACCAAGAUCCAUACCUGAGGGUCUAUUAGUGCAAGGCACAACUGGUAAUUGAAGCAAAACUUAUCCACGAUCUUGUCCACCAUAAGGGAAAAGCCCAUCAAGAAGGGAUACGUCCUAAUGAAUGAGUUCCCACGCGGUGACAUGUAAUCCUCUCCUCCCCUCGAGGGAGUCCAGGAAAAGAUUCGUCCUGCUCUCCUACCUGUAGUCCCUUUAAUCAAUAGGGAAGAUAUGAUUUGUUAUAAGAGUUGGGAAGUUUUACACGGAGACCUGCCUUCUAGUGUUCUCCUUGAUGUUGAAAUUAUUAUCUUUCCUCAACUCUUUUGGCACUAUGUCCGAAAUUGUUUGUUCCGGCUGAUCGGCCAACUCGACAUUUUUCGCUCCUCCUUUUCUUUGUUAGUGGCAACAUUACCUCCACCACAGUCACAUUUGUAGCAGCAACGGCGGUGUCACACCCCUUUUUCUCGCGAAAGCGGGUUUCGACAUGUGACAACUCUUUUAAAUGGGUAUUAAAAUAGAAGAGUCAUCACCUAAUGAUUUUAAGGUGUGUUAGGGCAUCUAUUUGCAAAUAACUCCGUUUGACUAAU
This 2667-nucleotide long non-coding RNA is filed under the name Nicotiana tabacum (common tobacco). RNAcentral describes it as "long non-coding RNA (NTAB_LNC011874)". Lineage: Eukaryota; Viridiplantae; Streptophyta; Magnoliopsida; Solanales; Solanaceae. The record is from RNAcentral.